This 237-nucleotide unclassified non-coding RNA is filed under the name Hevea brasiliensis (rubber tree). The record is from RNAcentral. Lineage: Eukaryota; Viridiplantae; Streptophyta; Magnoliopsida; Malpighiales; Euphorbiaceae.
AUUACGGGAAAGUGGAUGUAGGAUCAACAAAAACGCCAUUCAAAAUAGUGUCCUUCUGCUAGGAAGUUAUUCAAAGUAGAGUUCAUGCAACUGGGACGCCAAUAUAAAUGGCGUCUCUACCUCGGAUUCCUGCAGCUCGGUCACGUCAUCAGAGAGAUGUGAUGUGGAAUAACGAGCAAGUAUGGAAAUAGCGUCCAGAGUAUCCCACGCACACCGAAUCUCUGUUUGAACACUGGG